UGUGUGUGUGUGUGUGUGUAUAAACUUGACUUUCAUUUUAAUGUCUCAAAAUGAAAGUCAAGUAACUAUUCUUCAAGAUCAAAAUGAAAGUCUCAAAAUGAAAUGCAGUUAAAAUUUAAUUUGAUUAUACGUUAUUAAUCUUAACUUAAAAUAAUUUAAAUUGAUUUUUAUAAACUCAUAAAGAAUAACUAUGUUACAUUUAUUUUUUUAACUUAAAAUAGGAUUUUAAAAAAAAAUGCAAAUGCAAAAGAUCAAUAAAAAAAACCCUAAAUUAGAUUUAAACUCAUUAACCAUUAGCCUAUUUUAAGCACCAUCCAUUAGCCACAUUGGAGAUACACAGCCAAUACACAGACAUAGACACGUUUUAUUAUUGAGAGCAUAGGCAGCCACAGCCAGCCAGGUACAUCUACUUUAUGUCUUCUCUUCUUUUUCUUCUUCUUCCUUUUUAUUUUUUUUUCAGUGGUUGUCUUUGAUGGGUAGGCUGCUUCUUCUCCUCGUCCACCUCUUUUUUUUUUCCUUCUUGUUUUUGGUCUUCUUCUUCCCCACCUCACCCAAGCGCGCCUUGCACCUCACCGUGCCUUGCUGCGCUUGGGUGAGGCCACACACCUUUCUAAGGGCAAGGCGCAGCCCCUUGCAACCUAUGCGCCUUGCGCCUCAAGCGCGCCUUUCACAACACUGGUUUUAAGGCCAUGUGUUGAGCACUUGGUUAAGGUAACAUAUAUGUAGGGGUUAGCUGCCACCACAUGAAACUUCAAUUGCAUCAAGUUAAAUUGUGGAGACAGAGAAAAGAGAGAGUAGGGAAAAUAUAUAUAUACAUAUAUAUACUUGGUAAAAAAUAUUACCUUAAACAUGAUUACACUGGCCA
RNAcentral lists this unclassified non-coding RNA (865 nucleotides) under Hevea brasiliensis (rubber tree). The record is from RNAcentral. Lineage: Eukaryota; Viridiplantae; Streptophyta; Magnoliopsida; Malpighiales; Euphorbiaceae.